Molecule: ribosomal RNA, 344 nt
Filed under: uncultured eukaryote
Lineage: Eukaryota
Description: SSU rRNA
Rfam family: Eukaryotic small subunit ribosomal RNA
Source: RNAcentral
CCAGCAGCCGCGGUAAUUCCAGCUCCAAUAGCGUAUAUUAAUGCUGUUGCGGUUAAAAAGCUCGUAGUUGGAUUUUGGGGCUCUCCCUUUUCGGGAAUUCAUUUGGAGGCUGGUCCGGUGUAAACCGCGUACCGGCCGCCGGGCCCUUUCGUCUGGAGGCCGGGCGUUCGACUUGAUUGUCGUGCGAUUCCCCCGGUGUCUAGGACAAUUACUUUGAACAAAUUAGAGUGUUUAAAGCAGGCAUACUCGCCUUGAAUACAUUAGCAUGGAAUAACCACUUAGGACUUUGGUUCUAUUUUGUUGGUUUUAAGGACUAAAGUAAUGAUUAACAGGAACCGUUGGGG